GGAUAUAAAGGUGAUCUGGCUGCGACAUCUGUCACCCCAUUGAUUGCCAGGGUUGAUUUGGCUGAUCUGGCUGGCUAGGCGGGUGUCUCCUUCCUCCCUCACCGCUCCAUGUGCAUACCUCCCGAAGCUGCGCGCUUGGUCGAAGAGGACGUCCUUCCCCGAAUAGAGAUGGACCGGUCUUUGGUCAAGGGUAUACGAGUAGCUGCACUCCCCUGCUAGAACCUCCAAACAAGCUCUCAAAUGACUUAUCUGAUUGAAUUUUAACAGUGGGCUUAAAUUGUUAAUGCAUUUCUAAUAAUAACUUAAAAAAUAGU
Molecule: unclassified non-coding RNA, 314 nt
Organism: Erinaceus europaeus (western European hedgehog)
Lineage: Eukaryota; Metazoa; Chordata; Mammalia; Eulipotyphla; Erinaceidae
Gene: 7SK
Rfam family: 7SK RNA
About the family: 7SK was discovered as an abundant small nuclear RNA in the mid-70s but a possible function has only recently been suggested. Two independent studies have found that 7SK RNA binds the CDK9/cyclin T complex (known as elongation factor P-TEFb).
Source: Ensembl